GGGCGCUUAGCUCAGCAGGUUAGAGCGCCACGCUCACAUCGUGGAGGUCAAUGGUUCGAAUCCAUUAGCGCCCA
RNAcentral lists this transfer RNA (74 nucleotides) under Candidatus Zixiibacteriota bacterium. Its description in RNAcentral is "tRNA-Val". It matches the Rfam family "tRNA". From Rfam's summary of the family: Transfer RNA (tRNA) molecules are approximately 80 nucleotides in length. Their secondary structure includes four short double-helical elements and three loops (D, anti-codon, and T loops). The record is from RNAcentral. Lineage: Bacteria; Pseudomonadati; Candidatus Zixiibacteriota.